CCUACGGGAGGCAGCAGUGGGGAAUCUUGCGCAAUGGGCGAAAGCCUGACGCAGCAACGCCGCGUGCGGGAAGAAGGCUUUCGGGCUGUAAACCGCUUUCAGCAGGAACGAAAAUGACGGUACCUGCAGAAGAAGGAGCGGCCAACUAUGUGCCAGCAGCCGCGGUGAUACAUAGGCUUCAAGCGUUGUCCGGAUUUAUUGGGCGUAAAGAGUUCGUAGGCGGUCGAGUAAGUCGGGUGUGAAAAUUCUGGGCUCAACCCAGAGACGCCACCCGAUACUGCUUGACUUGAGUUCGAUAGGGGAGUGGGGAAUUCCUAGUGUAGCGGUGAAAUGCGCAGAUAUUAGGAGGAACACCGGUGGCGAAGGCGCCACUCUGGAUCGAUACUGACGCUGAGGAACGAAAGCAUGGGUAGCAAACAGGAUUAGAUACCCUGGUAGUCCAUGCCGUAAACGGUGGGCACUAGGUGUGGGUUUCUAUUAACGAAAUCCGCGCCGUCGCUAACGCAUAGUGCCCGCCGUCGGGAGGUACGGUCGCGAGACUAAACUUAAACUAGUAAUUAGUACGGCGUGAGACGUCGCCGACGGACGACCGACCGAAGGGGAGGUAGGGU
RNAcentral lists this ribosomal RNA (611 nucleotides) under uncultured bacterium. RNAcentral's name for it is "bacterial SSU rRNA". It matches the Rfam family "Bacterial small subunit ribosomal RNA", at positions 338 to 1438 of the family's 1533-position model. The record is from RNAcentral.